AGGUGUGUAUAUCAACAUUAAUGUACCAGAUUCCAUUAAAGCUUCACAGUUAAACGUGUUUGGACGAAAAUAGUAUUAAAAUGGAUGACCUCUUAAAAAAUCACCGUGUUGCACCUC
This 117-nucleotide ribosomal RNA is filed under the name Medicago truncatula (barrel medic). The record is from RNAcentral. Lineage: Eukaryota; Viridiplantae; Streptophyta; Magnoliopsida; Fabales; Fabaceae.